GCACCAUGAAAAAUAGUAUAAAUAUUAUUUUUGUAUCACAUCUUUCAUACAAGCUAGGUCCUACAAUGUAUUACACAGUUACAUAAUACAGCUAAAAAGUUAAAAAAUAGAAGUAUAGCAGAGGGAGAGAGAAAUGAAGAGGGGUAAGUAAAGGAGGAAGCAUAUGCUUUCAGCUGAGAUUACAAAAUAGAUGGGAAGAUGGAGAGUCAAAAGAAGGUUAAUCUAGAGGGCAAGUGCUGCAGAGGAGAAGGCUCUUGCACCAAACUGGCAAGAUUAUUGCUUAUACAUUGUAGUAAAUGUAUAUAGGGCUUGAGGCCUCUGUUCACGAGGUACUUACAUUCAUAAGUAGUUCCACUGACUUCAGUGGGAAUUCUCAUGUGCUUAAAGUUAGGCAUGAGCUUAAGAACCUUGCUGAGCCCUGUGUCUUACAGAACCCGGGAAAGUCAGGGAGGCUGGUUCUUCACUCUUCUGCGGUGCUGCGAAUGGAGAAUCAGGACCCAGUGUCUGAAGAACUUGGACCUGCUCCUGCGUUCCUUACACUCGAAUGCCCACAAAUCACUGGGAGCGUUGGGUGUGUGAGGAAUUAGUCACCGGGAGAUCAAUGUCGAUUCCGGGAGACUCCAGGCCAAUCCGGGAGGGUCGACAACCCUAAGUUGUGGGCGUACGGCUUGUUGCAGGAUCAACCCAUUUUCGUGAGAAGGCUGCUGAGAUGCUAAAGUGCUCAAGAAAGUGGGGUGCUGAAGAGAAACUUGUGGACUGGCCUCUCUGGACAGGAUAUUACAGCGGUGACAGAGCAAGCCACCCAUCCCAUCCAUAUGCUUCAACUCUACCUUGGAGAUAACGAAAGACUAGAUCAUGCUUUAUGCUUCAUCCAGUUCUUGGCCUCUUUAAUGAGAAUGCCAACAGGGAGCCAUUGGUGGUGGUGAUAUGGCAUGGCCCAGCCCAUUGCUAUGAUCUUCAGGUUGCUGUAGAAGCUUAGACAAGAAGGGAACAAGGAAAGAGAUUUCAGAGAUGGCAUCGCAUGAUGUAGCAACCUGCCACCGAACCAGGAAUGGACACUUCUGAAAAAUUAA
Mauremys mutica (yellowpond turtle) is the source of this 1073-nucleotide long non-coding RNA. RefSeq lists it as uncharacterized. Lineage: Eukaryota; Metazoa; Chordata; Testudines; Geoemydidae. The record is from RefSeq and is a predicted model, not a curated record. The transcript is spliced from 5 exons.